RNAcentral lists this long non-coding RNA (334 nucleotides) under Phoenix dactylifera (date palm). RNAcentral's name for it is "long non-coding RNA (PDAC_LNC006895)". Lineage: Eukaryota; Viridiplantae; Streptophyta; Magnoliopsida; Arecales; Arecaceae. The record is from RNAcentral.
GGGGAGUCGCGGCGCCGGUGGUGGAGAGUAUGCACGGAUCCACCAUGACACGGGGGAGGCGGGACGGGUGGCGGGGCGACGACGGGAAGUCCGAGUCGGCGGCGGCCAGGUCCAGAAGGUUCGCUGAGGACCUAGAAGGCAUCUCCUCGUCUCCUAAACGUCGUCCUUUUCUUCUUCUUCUCCUUCUUCUAUUCCUUUUCCUUCUGUUUGGGGAUUAGGUUUAGGGUGAGGGUUAGGGUUUGGCUAUCGAUGGGUGUUGCAGAGGAGGAGGAGGAAGGAGAAAGCGGGGUUCAUUUGGUGGGGUCUUCUUUAACUCGAUCUCCUUCUACUUGCU